RNAcentral lists this long non-coding RNA (2668 nucleotides) under Triticum aestivum (bread wheat). Its description in RNAcentral is "long non-coding RNA (TAES_LNC026179)". The record is from RNAcentral. Lineage: Eukaryota; Viridiplantae; Streptophyta; Magnoliopsida; Poales; Poaceae.
UCACAUUCAUAUUAUAAAUUCUCUUCAUCAAACAUUUACAAGCUUACAAUAUAUGCAAUUCACUGAUUACGUGUGAAGAAUUACAUCAUAAUUUAGUAUCUGCAGUUUCAAGGCGUCCAAGUUGUACAGAAUGGAACAAGCACAAAGAGUAAAGCUUGUAAGGUCUUCUAGGUGAGCUCAAAGCAUAUGGUUACGGCAAGGUAUCUUAACCCGUCUUCAGGAACAUUUCCAACCUGGACAGUAAGAGAAAAAUUGAAAAAUACAUAUAUAAUAAAACAUUAUCUGCAUUACAUUGAUUUACAACACUCAAAAGAGUCUAUUGAGUGCACCAUUCCUGUUUUAUAAGACAUACGUCUACAACAUCAAGAGAAUUUCUAAUCAAAUUUCCUUUCAAGGCAUCAACUGAAUAUUCAAUUUAAUAGGAAAAUAAAAAAUGUCAGCAGUUUCAUGCAUUGACACGUAAAUUAAGCACAUUUAGCUCACCGCAAUUACAUCAUAUGAUUACCUAUGAUAUAAAUUUUAGUUUCCUGUAUGUGAAGAUUCCAUAGAACACCGUCCAGAAAACUGCACAUAAGACAAAAUAGGAAGUGAUUAAAGCAAGUGACAUCCACAACUUGUAUGAAUUUUUGACAUCAUAGGAUCUUGUAUUUUGGUAUAAACACACAAAGAAUGUAGUUCAAGAUAUGAAAUAGUUUCAUCCCAUGGAAAACAGCAAAAUUCAAACAUUUUUCUAGCACAAACAUGACAGUAGUAUAGAAACCAAAAUGUUUGGUGUUAUGUUGAAGUGGUUUACAACAUUCUUACUAGUCUUUUGGGCUCCCAGUCACAUGUGCCAAUGUUCUUAUCCAAUGUACUAGCACUUUCUGCAAAAAAAUAGAACAAGUUAGAUGUCACAAAGAUGGUGCUGUUUCCAGUCUUACAUGGUCAAUCAGUUGGCAAACAUAUAUGCAGAACACCUAUUUAAUCACAAAUUGAGUGGCCCGAGACAUGCAACAAAAUAGACGCGUAGUUGACAGAACACCUGUUUCUACUAGUAUUGAUUUUAGACUUCCAGUGUGUAUCUAUAGCAAGAUUCCUGUUGAGUACAAAAUACUGAACAGUAAUGCCAGGUCUAACCACUUUACACAUGGAAAGGUACAUUUAUCCUAAACAAUGCAAGCCGGUUAUAACUUAAUUAGUCUAUGAAAGAUGAUGCAGGACCAUAGAGAUAAUCGAGGAUGUGAUUCCAUUUUGCUUGUCUUAAGGAAAAAGGAGUAUUAGAUCAAGGAGAAGUAUUGGACUAUGCGUAGGAAUACAAGUGAAGGCAACACCUAUGCUAUUCAUAAAUGAUUCUACGACUGGCAGACCAAGACACUGCUUCAAGUACUGGCCCAAUAACAAAAGACUAAGCUUUAGAAUACACAGGACAUGCAAAAGCUUAGUUCCUGGACAUGCGCACACUGGACAUGUAAAAGGUUCCACUAAUUGUAUGCAUAAAAAGGCUAAGCACAUUCAGGAGAAGCAUAGUUCAUAUCUUUACUGCAGUUUCAUUUGCAUGAAGCAUAUAGGAAACAAAAUUCUAAAUAAAGUUUCAAUGUUCUGAAAUAGCAACAAGCAUGUAUCUGAAAGCAAAAUACUAAAUCCAAGACUUAUCUACCAAGAUAAACUGCCCCCCAUACCUCACCCACGCUAAUAUGCAGUGGCAUCUAUCUAUUAUAUAUUAAAAAGGAAAAUAGGGAUCAAGAAUAGAGGAUUUACUAGAAAUUCUCACAUUAAUCAGACACAUCGGACCGUUAGUUUGGUGGACCCUCCAUUAAUGAGUAAAUUACGACCAUUAGAAAGGCAGACCCACACCAAUUUUGAUGUAUGACGUCCUGGACUUGAACUCUUGAUUAGUUCAGUAGAUAAAAAGAGAUCAUUUUUAAUUCUGCUUGCGUGACAACAAAACAGCGGCGUCCCGUGGUUAUCCAGGAAAUAAAAGAGCAGCGUCCUGUAGAAAAAAGCAGUGGCAACUACGUUUAUUCACAAAGGAAAAAAAACAUCGGCAAGGGCAUGGUCAACACGCCAUAUCGUGGGUGUUGUAGGCGGUGAACUUCGAUCAAAAAGGAAAAGAAAAGAAGGAAGCAACGGCUCGCUCAAUGCAGCAUGCCAUGGCCCAUGGGCGUAGUAGGCGGGCACUCAUCACGGCUCAUAGUUGCAUACUCCUGUUGAGGUCCGACCCCACUGAAGAACGCAUGAUAAUCACACGAUGUGCCGAUGUGCAGCAUGAACACACUCCAGACCCUCGAUGCCCAAGAUAAAGAAACACUAGCAGAAGAAAUCAGAAUCCCAGGUAGAAUAAGCAUAAUAUCUCCUUUAAAUAUCAAUUAUCGAGGUCAACUAUCACAGAAUGGAUGUCAGUUCCAUUAUUACUUCUAUGAAGCAAAUCAGGCAGUCCUUUCUAUAUGAGAACAAUCUCAUUCUGAUAUCCACGAAUUCAGAAAAGCACCCAAAGAUAUGACUUACCAUAUUUUUCUCCCAAUAGAAACAAUUCAUCUCAAGCAAUACCCCAACCUGCAAUAGCUACAACAAAGACAAUGUUUUUUUGGAAGCAAAUCCCAGUGAUAAGAAAGUUAAAUACGUGAGGUAAGCACAUACCAUCAUCUUCCACUUUAAUAUAACAUCCUCUGACAUUUACUGAAACAUCGAU